This 222-nucleotide unclassified non-coding RNA is filed under the name uncultured Gemmatimonadaceae bacterium. RNAcentral describes it as "contains 16S-23S intergenic spacer region". It matches the Rfam family "Bacterial small subunit ribosomal RNA", at positions 976 to 1200 of the family's 1533-position model. The record is from RNAcentral. Lineage: Bacteria; Pseudomonadati; Gemmatimonadota; Gemmatimonadia; Gemmatimonadales; Gemmatimonadaceae.
UGGGCUUGACAUGCACGGGAAAGCCGGUGGAAACAUCGGCCCCUCUUCGGAGUCCGUGCACAGGUGCUGCAUGGCUGUCGUCAGCUCGUGUCGUGAGAUGUUGGGUUAAGUCCCGCAACGAGCGCAACCCUCGUCCCUAGUUGCCAUCAUUCAGUUGGGCACUCUAAGGGGACUGCCGGUGAUAAGCCGAGAGGAAGGUGGGGAUGACGUUUACCGACAGCU